AAUCAACGCUGGCGGCGUGCCUCAGACAUGCAAGUCGAACGCGAAACCUUCCUUCGGGAGGGGAGUAGAGUGGCGCACGGGUGAGUAACACGUAGGUAAUUUGCCUUCGGGUGGGGAAUAACAGCCGGAAACGGCUGCUAAUACCGCAUAAUGCAGCGGCUCGACAUCGAGACAGUUGUUAAAGCGGGGGAUUCGCAAGAACCUCGCGCCUGAAGAGAAGCCUGCGGCAGAUUAGCUAGUUGGUAGGGUAAUGGCCUACCAAGGCGACGAUCUGUAACCGGCCUGAGAGGGCGGUCGGGUCACACUGACACUGACAUACGGGUCAGACUCCUACGGGAGGCAGCA
RNAcentral lists this ribosomal RNA (345 nucleotides) under uncultured bacterium. RNAcentral describes it as "bacterial SSU rRNA". It matches the Rfam family "Bacterial small subunit ribosomal RNA", at positions 32 to 353 of the family's 1533-position model. The record is from RNAcentral.